Molecule: long non-coding RNA, 653 nt
Organism: Gorilla gorilla gorilla (western lowland gorilla)
Lineage: Eukaryota; Metazoa; Chordata; Mammalia; Primates; Hominidae
Exons: 4
Source: RefSeq, a predicted model, not a curated record
UAGCGUGGGCUCCCAGUGCUCAGGGCCUUCACAGUCUCCACGAUCACGAUGGCCCUCUGGUGUCCCAUCUUUCUCUCUCAAACUGUCCUUUUCUCAAUCCUUUGACUCCGCCGGACUUUGUCACCCCCACAACCUGGGUUUGGGUCUGGCCACCCCAACAUUAAGAAGAUCUCAGAUCCACUAAAAUGUCAACAUUGAAAACAAGAUAAAGAGGAGAAAGAGGAGGAAAAAAGAGGAGUGUAGAGGAGGGGGUACAGUGGCUCAUGCUUGUAAUCCCAGAGUUUUCGGAGGCCAAGACAGAACUGCUUGAGCUCAAGAGUUUGAAACCAGCCUGGGCAACAUAAUGAGAUCUCAUCUCUACAAAAAAUUAAAGUAUCAGCCAAGCAAGGUGGUUUACAUGACUGGCUACUCGGGAAGCUGAGAGGCAUUUUCCCAUCGCAAAUGGCAGCAUAAGCAUCUGAGAAUCUGAGCAGCCCUGGCAAGCACCUCACAGAAGCUGAAGAAACAAAAGUUGGAGUCCAGGACCUAUCAAUGUGGAGGCAUUCUAGCAAUGAACUCUAGAUUUAAGAUGGGUGUCCCAAACAAAUGAAAAGAAACUGUGAAUAAAACAUUCCUUCCAGAAAAUAAAAGCAGUCACUGAAUGACCUCAAUCA